ACGCCUCCCCUAAAUUAGCUGUUAACUCCUCCCCUAAGUUAGCUGAUAACUCCUCCCCUAAGUUAGCUGAUGACUCCUUCCCUAAAUUAGCUGAUGACUCCUCCCCUAAAUUUGCUGAUAACUCCUCCCCUAAAUUAGCUGAUAACUCCUCCCCUAAAUUAGCUGAUAACUCCUCCCCUUAGUUAGAUGAUAACUCCUCUCCUACAUUAGCUGAUAACUCCUCCCCUAAAUUAGCUGAUAACGCCUCCCCUAAAUUAGCUGUUAACUCCUCCCCUAAAUUAGCUGAUAACGCCUCCC
This is a long non-coding RNA of Sphaeramia orbicularis (orbiculate cardinalfish), 297 nucleotides long. RefSeq lists it as uncharacterized. The transcript has 2 exons. The record is from RefSeq and is a predicted model, not a curated record. NCBI's taxonomy places the organism in Eukaryota, Metazoa, Chordata, Actinopteri, Kurtiformes, Apogonidae.